RNAcentral lists this ribosomal RNA (468 nucleotides) under uncultured bacterium. RNAcentral describes it as "partial 16S ribosomal RNA". It matches the Rfam family "Bacterial small subunit ribosomal RNA", at positions 28 to 507 of the family's 1533-position model. The record is from RNAcentral.
GACGAACGCUGGCGGCGUGCUUAACACAUGCAAGUCGAACGGAAAGGCCCUGCUUUUGUGGGGUGCUCGAGUGGCGAACGGGUGAGUAACACGUGAGUAACCUGCCCUUGACUUUGGGAUAACUUCAGGAAACUGGGGCUAAUACCGGAUAGGAUCUCCUGCUGCAUGGUGGGGGUUGGAAAGUUUCGGCGGUUGGGGAUGGACUCGCGGCUUAUCAGCUUGUUGGUGGGGUAGUGGCUUACCAAGGCUUUGACGGGUAGCCGGCCUGAGAGGGUGACCGGCCACAUUGGGACUGAGAUACGGCCCAGACGCCUACGGGAGGCAGAAGUGGGGAAUAUUGCACAAUGGGCGGAAGCCUGAUGCAGCAACGCCGCGUGCGGGAUGACGGCCUUCGGGUUGUAAACCGCUUUCGCCUGUGACGAAGCGUGAGUGACGGUAAUGGGUAAAGAAGCACCGGCUAACUACGUG